RNAcentral lists this ribosomal RNA (396 nucleotides) under Cupriavidus sp. UFLA04-121. RNAcentral's name for it is "bacterial SSU rRNA". It matches the Rfam family "Bacterial small subunit ribosomal RNA", at positions 75 to 474 of the family's 1533-position model. The record is from RNAcentral. Lineage: Bacteria; Pseudomonadati; Pseudomonadota; Betaproteobacteria; Burkholderiales; Burkholderiaceae.
GGGGGCAACCCUGGUGGCGAGUGGCGAACGGGUGAGUAAUACAUCGGAACGUGCCCUGUCGUGGGGGAUAACUAGUCGAAAGAUUAGCUAAUACCGCAUACGACCUGAGGGUGAAAGCGGGGGACCGUAAGGCCUCUCGCGACAGGAGCGGCCGAUGUCUGAUUAGCUAGUUGGUGGGGUAAAAGCCUACCAAGGCGACGAUCACUAGCUGGUCUGAGAGGACGAUCAGCCACACUGGGACUGAGACACGGCCCACACUCCUACGGGAGGCAGCAGUGGGGAAUUUUGGACAAUGGGGGCAACCCUGAUCCACCAAUGCCGCGUGUGUGAAGAAGGCCUUCGGGUUGUAAAGCACUUUUGUCCGGAAAGAAAUGGCUCUGGUUAAUACCCGGGGUC